GCGGCUUCUCAGACGUGCGCUUUUCGUGUGAUGCUCACGGGAAAUACACACACACACGCACGCACGCUCCAUUCAUUCAUAACUUCGGGCUAAGCACGAGGAUCGUGCUGCACGAACACAACACAAACACGCAUGACAUUUGCGGCUUCGCAGACGUUGCAUUUUGGUUUGAUGCUUGCUGCUGCGUUCGAUUUAGGAAUGCAGGUGGUAGCAGGUGGUGCUCUUGGGGAAUUACGCGCAACAUACACAGCCACCAUUCUUUCGGAACUUCGGGCUAAGCACGGGGUUUAUGCUGCACAAACAGAACAACGGCGUACCGCACGAAGACAGCUGUAACAAUCAUCGUACAAUCGCGUAUGCAACGACUACGAACAGCUGUUGCCCCGUCAACAUAGUGCUGUCCUUAAAGUGACGGCGGUGACGGGCCUCCUCACCUAGUUUUAUAAUUACUUCGGUUACUUGUGCCUAUAAAUUACAAACCACUCGUGUUAUUCGCUCCUGUUGAUGAAAAGUUAACAGUAUAAUGAUGAUUUAAACAACAACUUUAAAAACAAUUUGUCAUGUUUGCGGCUGUUACUUUUAACAAGCGGUAGGUAGCGCUGCGCUUCUUCCUUUUUUUUUUUUUUCCCGCGCCCCAUGGAGAAAAAAAAAAUGGCUCGACACUUUUGUGUUUCUUCACGCAGCAACGUGAUCGGCGUGUUUUCGAUGAUCUCGACGCUCAGCAAGAUCCAUUGUGCAGUGUUAAGUUCAGAAAUGUUUUCCUCAUCGUAUGCAGCAGUGAAUUCUCUUGUGCGCUUCGUCGUUUCCGCCCGCUGGAUAUCGACGAUUUUGACAAAGAACUCUACGAAGUCUUGCGGGCUGGCGAGGAAAACGGCAGCACCCACUUACUGCACAUGAGCCAAACUGAGGAAGGGAUGGAGGAGGCGUGAGUCGAACAACCGACGUGUGCAGCGGAAACUCGGCGAUGCUCAACUGGGACCGGGAUCACGAAAAAACACCUUUACCUCGAGGCGAAAAAGUGUCCCCUGCAGGACCUCCAGAAGAAACACCAGUCCCCGCAACGGUACCUUGCACAAGAAUGUGCCAACCUGCACUAUUAAUCCAGCUAGGUUUUCAUGGACAUUUUCAUUAAUUUUAUUGCCCUUGAAGUUAUUAAAGUGCUAAUUUGUUUUAAAAAUGAGUACGUGUCAACUUCACUUAAGAGGUUCCAUGUAAAUGUGCAUGGGAAAGUGUGCAGAUGUGUGCAUUUUUAAAAUCCAGUUGCUACCCUCAGCACUGCAUAGAUAAACUUAUUGCUAGUGAAGCUGCAAGAAAUUUCUUUUCAUUUGUUUUGCUC
This is a long non-coding RNA of Rhipicephalus sanguineus (brown dog tick), 1336 nucleotides long. RefSeq lists it as uncharacterized. The transcript is spliced from 3 exons. Lineage: Eukaryota; Metazoa; Arthropoda; Arachnida; Ixodida; Ixodidae. The record is from RefSeq and is a predicted model, not a curated record.